AGAGAGAGAGAGAGGGAGAGUUUUUUGAUCGUUCAUGCUAAGAUAAUUUCAAGUCCACUACACCACAGGAUCCCCCUGUCAUGCUAAGAAAUCUACUGCUAUAUUGGAGCUCCUAGGGUAGUUGGUAGAAUUGAAAUAUAUGUUCUAGAUAAUGACCCAUACUCAGUUAGUAGUAUGGAAUAUAACUGCAAACCUCUUGCCCUUUCAAAAAUCUGAAUGGGACACAAGUUACAGGUCAUUUUUUAUAAAUGAAACAAAAUAUGCAUUAACUUUAUGCAUGAGCAAGUCACAACAAAUCCAGCCAAACUCUGAACAGAUAACCAAAAAAUCUCCACGGGUCUACAUAAUGCUCCAUCUCCAACCACUUGCAGACCCAAAUUUUCCAAGAUGAAGCACAACUAGAUGAAACAAAAAGCCUACCCUUGAAAGGCAGAUUGGAUUUCCUCUUUUGAGGUAAAGAUCCACCAACAAGAUUGAUGCAGAUAACAAAAUGUUUAACAAAAGCAAGUUUAAUAACCAAACAAUAUUUAUAUUUGUUCUCUUAACUUGAUUCUGGACCGGCUAGGGCCUGUAAUAUGAUAUCAUAAGUACUUGGUAAUGAUGCCUCAAAACCUUCCAUCCUCUUAAAAGUUUCAAUCAAUUUCAGUUUAAAUUUCAACCUCCGCAUGAUGUCUUUAGAAUUGUGCAAUGAGGAAUAGUUAUACAGAAUUUUUAAAGCAUUAUGCUUGCCAAUUUGUCAUGAACCCCAUUCUGACAUCAUAGGACCUCAGUCCUAAUGUGAAAUGCCUAGAAAUUUCCUAUCUUUUUGUGUCAAAAUUUCAAGCAGUUUUAUAGAUAGUAGCAACUUCCGCCACAUGAUGCCAAAGAAAUUCAGAAAAAUCACAAAACACAAAACUAAUAUCUUACGGGCUACCAAAACAAAUUA
This 925-nucleotide unclassified non-coding RNA is filed under the name Hevea brasiliensis (rubber tree). The record is from RNAcentral. Lineage: Eukaryota; Viridiplantae; Streptophyta; Magnoliopsida; Malpighiales; Euphorbiaceae.